This 5622-nucleotide long non-coding RNA is filed under the name Arabidopsis thaliana (thale cress). RNAcentral's name for it is "long non-coding RNA (ATHA_LNC000313)". Lineage: Eukaryota; Viridiplantae; Streptophyta; Magnoliopsida; Brassicales; Brassicaceae. The record is from RNAcentral.
GUGCCCUUUGGAUAAUUGGGGAGUAUUGCCUAUCACUUUCGGAAGUUGAGAGUGGCAUUUCAACUAUCACGCAAUGCCUUGGCGAAUUACCAUUUUACUCUGUUUCUGAGGAGUCUGAGCCAACUGAGACAUCAAAGAAGAUUCAGCCUACCUCUUCUGCCAUGGUGUCCUCUAGAAAGCCAGUGAUUCUUGCUGAUGGAACUUAUGCUACCCAAAGCGCAGCCUCUGAAACCACAUUCUCCUCACCUACAGUUGUUCAAGGAUCACUGACUUCUGGAAAUUUGAGAGCACUGCUACUAACUGGUGAUUUUUUCCUCGGAGCAGUGGUUGCUUGCACGUUGACCAAACUUGUUCUUAGGUUAGAAGAGGUUCAGUCUUCUAAAACUGAAGUAAAUAAGACAGUCACACAGGCUUUGUUGAUCAUGGUUUCUAUGUUGCAACUUGGGCAAUCUCCUGUUUCUCCACACCCUAUUGAUAAUGAUUCGUAUGAGAGGAUUGUGUUGUGCAUAAAAUUGCUUUGCCAUAGGAAUGAUGAGAUGAAAAAGAUAUGGUUAGAAUCCUGCCGCCAGAGUUUUGUCAAGAUGAUUUCUGAAAAACAGCUUAGAGAGAUGGAGGAACUGAAGGCGAAGACCCAAACAACGCAUGCUCAACCUGAUGAUCUAAUUGACUUCUUCCAUCUAAAGAGUCGGAAGGUAUUAUUACUUCCUAAGCUUCCCUUUGCUUUAUUGGGUUUUUUUUUCCAUAUGAGUUUUCCUUUUCAAUCUGUUCAGUUCUGUUACGUUGGUGUCUACUUUUUCUUACAGUUCAUAUCCAAUUUUUUUUUUCGCAUUCUCAAAGAAAGUUCGAAAGUUGAUAGUGGCAUGUUAUGUUUAUUUAUUUCGGUCAGUAGUUGAAAUUACUGACGAUAAGUUUCUUUCAGGGAAUGAGUCAACUUGAGUUGGAAGACCAAGUACAAGAUGACCUAAAGCGUGCAACUGGAGAAUUCACCAAGGACGAGAACGAUGCUAACAAACUUAACCGCAUUCUUCAACUCACAGGAUUCAGUGACCCAGUCUAUGCUGAAGCAUAUGUGACGGUACACCAUUAUGAUAUUGCUCUUGAAGUUACAGUAAUCAACCGAACCAAGGAAACCCUUCAGAACUUGUGCUUGGAGUUAGCAACCAUGGGUGAUCUCAAACUUGUUGAGCGUCCUCAGAACUACAGUCUGGCACCUGAAAGAAGCAUGCAGAUUAAAGCAAACAUCAAGGUGUCGUCCACAGAGACGGGAGUCAUAUUCGGGAACAUCGUCUAUGAGACAUCAAAUGUAAUGGAGCGAAACGUCGUUGUUCUUAAUGACAUACACAUUGAUAUCAUGGACUAUAUCUCCCCUGCUGUGUGUUCAGAGGUUGCUUUCAGAACUAUGUGGGCAGAGUUCGAAUGGGAAAACAAGGUAAUUUAUUGAAACCUUUUAUAGUUGUACCUUCUUUUCGUAUGUUUGUUGGAGUUUGGUAUAACCAAUUCCUGUUGUAUUCUUUAUGUCAGGUUGCUGUGAACACCACAAUACAAAACGAAAGAGAAUUCCUCGACCACAUUAUCAAAUCUACAAACAUGAAAUGUCUCACUGCUCCGUAAGUGUAAAUUCUUCUUUCAUCCUGUAGAAACGAAAAACUCUUCUUACUAAUUAAUACUUCUUUACUUGCAGAUCCGCAAUAGAAGGCGAAUGUGGAUUCCUUGCAGCAAACUUAUACGCAAAAAGUGUAUUUGGUGAGGAUGCUCUUGUGAAUGUGAGUAUUGAGAAGCAAACGGAUGGAGCAUUGAGUGGUUACAUAAGGAUAAGGAGCAAGACGCAAGGGAUUGCCCUAAGUCUUGGGGACAAAAUCACCCUCAAACAAAAGGGUAGUAGCUGAGGUUAGCUAAUCUUUUCAAAACAUAUUCUAUUUCUCGAUUAAUACAUGUUUUAAUCCUUAAACCGCAAUUGGUCUAAAUUUCAGUACCAUACCGAUGAUUUCUCACAGUGGCGUGCAAAGGUAACAGGUUUAGACUACGUACGUUUCUCUUGAGCAAUUAUCGUUGGUUGAAUCUGCUUAUUAUAUGGAGGGAGGAGGCGUUCAAGGGUAUAUGUAAAAAGAGUAAUUGGCUAUCGUUCUUACUUAACCGGUAUAUUUUCUGGUAUGGUACCGAUGGAUUUCUUCAUCUCAUAUGGCAGUGUGUUUUUUACUGUACUAGACGAUUUUGUUUUAUUUGUAAUGCUUUUUCUUCUAUAAUGUCGUUUGUUGAGGACUUUAAACCGUGAACUUUAUGAUAUUGUAGAUUUCAAAGCUACAUUUGGUUUGCUCCAUUUUAGAACUCGUCAUUUCAGAUUUGAUCUCUAUUCUUUUCUUUCAUAUGCAUUUGAAGUGAACUAUUCAAUUGUCAAAGCUAGACUUUAAUUUGCUAGUAGCUAUAUAAUACGGGUUAUGUUAGCAAGUAAGUUGUAAUGAAACGCAUGUAUUAAUAUGGACCAUAUUCAAAAUCUACAAGCCAAAGAAACCAAUUGCUUCACAACCAAACCCAUAACAUUUGAUUCUUACAGCCUUUUCUAUUCUCAAGAAAACCAAGCAAUAAUUUUUAAGCAAAAUUUAAUAAUCUUAAAUCACUUGCCUCAAGGUACCAAGGGACGAUCACAUACACAUUCGCGUAACUAGAUAUCGCUAACAUCAUUAGACAAGAAAAUACUAGACGCGAGUAGAAGAGGAAAGAUCCAAAUACAUCAUCUUCUAUCAUAAAAUCAUCCAUCUCUAACCGAAAGUUGGAGCACGUUUCAAGGAAAAACUGACAUAAUUCCUAAUUACGCUCACUUUUAAAAGUUUGGGGUCGUUUUGGAAACAAUAAAAAAGUAGGGGCUAUGCUUUCUCAACUUCUAUUGGACUGGGCUUGUCAACAAUCAAUAUUUGGGCCUGCGAGGUUGACUCGCUUCUUUCCGUUCUUCGUUUUCCAAACAGAAGGAAAAAAAACUAAAAAACAAAAUCGGAUUUGGAGGAGUAAACACAAGGGAAGACGAAUCCACGAUAAUAUUAAGGACAUUUCAUAAUCUCUCACUUUGUGCGAGUGUUUUUUUUUCCGAGAUCCAAAAUCUUCUAACGGAUCCAAAGCUUUGUUACUCCGUGGAUCUCCUACCUUGAGGUUCGUCUCUAUCUGUUAAACUUGCGACUCAGAUUUCGUAGAGAUCGAUCCCACUUUUGCUUUUCCUUUGUGAAAAUCUACAAUGUUCAAUAUUCUCUGGCGUUCUUUGCUUGAUCUCGUUGAAUAUUGAUCCGAUCCCGGUAGGCAAACGAUUUUCAUGUUUGUGCAGCUGAGUGAGACUGCGAACUAUGUAGAUUCCAUUGUUUGUUCAUCAAAUCUGGGGAGAUAUAUUGCAUUUGUGAUAUGAACUUUGGUUGAUCCGAAGCUUUUUUAUUAUUCGAUUUUAUGUUAAUGUUUUGGUCGUAGUUGUAGUAAAAGUGAUGUGUAUUGCUGGAUCUGAGGAUUUGAAUUUGUCAAUGUCUUGCAUCUUUGGGUCGUUGAUUAGACAUUACCGAAUAUUCUUCAGCGAUUAUGAUGCUUUCUCAUAUACCGUGGAUUUGAGAACAUAGAUGCUUUCUUCAUUGUACUGAAAUAUAUGUAGAGAGGUGUAGAUUAUUAUUGCUGAGUAGUAUUAUGGGGAUACUCUGAAACUUCUUGUUUAGAACUUACUCGAGCAGUGAUGAAGAUACUAGUAAGGUGCUUAUACUAACUUAGUAAUUAAAAGAAAAUUCUUAAAAUUUUGGAUAUAUUGAUUGUUACCUGUGAUCUAUACUACUUCAUUUUAUCUUUAAAUCGAUUUUCAGUAUUUUAGGUUCCUAUUCUCUAUUCGCUUUGAAUUUCUUAUGUUAACAUAGGUACACUUGUUCUUGCAUGAUUUUUCCUUUUCAUAUGAGCUCACAAUUUUAUUUUAUUUUUCACUCUUUGUGCAGCACCUGAAAAGAUGGACAAAUCUAGUACCAUGCUUGUUCACUAUGACAAAGGGACUCCAGCAGUUGCUAAUGAGAUUAAAGAAGCUCUCGAAGGAAAUGAUGUUGAAGCUAAAGUUGAUGCCAUGAAGAAGGCAAUUAUGCUUUUGCUGAAUGGUGAAACCAUUCCUCAGCUUUUCAUUACCAUUAUAAGAUAUGUGCUGCCUUCUGAAGACCACACCAUCCAAAAGCUUCUGUUGCUGUACCUGGAGCUGAUUGAAAAGACAGAUUCGAAGGGGAAGGUGUUGCCUGAAAUGAUUUUGAUAUGCCAGAAUCUUCGUAAUAACCUUCAGCAUCCGAAUGAGUACAUCCGUGGAGUGACACUGAGGUUUCUCUGUCGGAUGAAGGAGACUGAAAUAGUGGAACCUUUGACUCCAUCAGUGUUACAAAAUCUGGAGCAUCGCCAUCCAUUUGUUCGCAGGAAUGCAAUUCUGGCAAUCAUGUCGAUAUAUAAACUUCCACAUGGCGACCAACUCUUCGUGGAUGCACCUGAAAUGAUCGAGAAAGUUCUAUCAACAGAACAAGAUCCUUCUGCCAAGAGAAAUGCAUUUCUAAUGCUCUUUACCUGUGCCGAAGAACGUGCAGUGAAUUAUCUUCUGAGCAAUGUUGACAAGGUUUCAGACUGGAAUGAAUCACUUCAGAUGGUGGUGCUGGAGCUGAUUCGAAGUGUGUGUAAGACUAAACCAGCGGAGAAGGGAAAAUAUAUUAAAAUUAUUAUUUCUCUGUUAAGUGCUACUUCUUCUGCAGUUAUCUAUGAAUGUGCUGGGACACUUGUUUCUCUCUCAUCUGCCCCUACUGCUAUUCGAGCUGCUGCCAACACCUACUGCCAACUUCUUCUUUCUCAGAGUGACAACAAUGUGAAGCUUAUCUUGCUCGAUCGGUUGUAUGAGCUUAAGACAUUGCACAGAGAUAUCAUGGUUGAGCUGAUAAUCGAUGUGCUCAGAGCACUCUCAAGCCCAAACCUUGAUAUCCGCAGGAAGACACUUGACAUUGCCCUUGACUUGAUUACCCAUCAUAAUAUUAAUGAAGUCGUUCAAAUGUUGAAGAAAGAAGUUGUGAAGACACAGAGUGGAGAACUUGAGAAGAAUGGAGAGUACAGGCAAAUGCUUAUUCAAGCCAUCCAUGCUUGUGCAGUUAAGUUCCCCGAAGUUGCAAGCACAGUGGUCCAUCUUCUGAUGGAUUUCCUGGGAGAUAGCAACGUGGCUUCAGCUCUUGACGUGGUUGUUUUCGUUAGAGAGAUAAUAGAAACAAAUCCCAAGUUGAGAGUUUCAAUCAUCACCAGGUUGUUGGACACGUUCUAUCAGAUCCGUGCAGGAAAGGUCUGCCCUUGUGCACUUUGGAUCAUUGGUGAGUAUUGCCUAUCACUUUCAGAAGUUGAGAGUGGCAUUUCAACUAUUACACAAUGCCUUGGCGAAUUACCAUUUUACUCUGUUUCUGAGGAGUCUGAGCCAACUGAGACAUCAAAGAAGAUUCAGCCUACCUCUUCUGCCAUGGUGUCCUCUAGAAAGCCAGUUAUUCUUGCUGAUGGAACUUAUGCUACACAAAGCGCAGCCUCUGAAACCACAUUCUCCUCGCCUACAGUUGUUCAAGGAUCACUGACUUCUGGAAAUUUGAGGGCACUCCUUCUAACUGGUGA